CAAAGGUUUGGUCCUGGCCUUUUCAUUAGCUAUUAAUAAAUUUACACAUGCAAGAAUCCUCACCCCAGUGAAGACGCCCUUCUAAACCACCCAGUGGUAAUAAGGAGCCGGUAUCAAGCACACUAAAAGUAGCUCAAGACACCUCGCUUAGCCACGCCCCCACGGGAAACAGCAGUGACAAAAAUUAAGCAAUAAAUGAAAGUCUGACUAAGUUAUAUUAUUGAGGGCUGGUUAAUUUCGUGCCAGCCACCGCGGUCAUACGAUUAGACCAAGCUAAUGAAUGUUCGGCGUAAAGAGUGUUUUAGAGCCCAAAAACUAAUAAAGUCAAAUUCUAGCUAGGCUGUAAAAAGCUCCAGUUAUAUUAAGAUACAAAACGAAAGUAACUUUAAAAAAUCUGAACACACGACAGCUAAGAUCCAAACUGGGAUUAGAUACCCCACUAUGCUUAGCCUUAAACAUAAAAAAUUAAAAACAAAAUUAUUCGCCAGAGUACUACUAGCAAGAGCUAAAAACUCAAAGGACUUGGCGGUGCCUUACAUCCUUCUAGAGGAGCCUGUUCCGUAAUCGAUAAACCCCGAUACACCUUACCAAUCUUUGCUAAAUCAGCCUAUAUACCGCCAUCUUCAGCAAACCCUAAAAAGGAAGUACAGUAAGCACAAAUACUAACAUAAAGACGUUAGGUCAAGGUGUAGCUUAUAGAUUGGAGAGAAAUGGGCUACAUUCUCCGAACUGGAGCAACACUCACGAAGACUUAUGUGAAAUAAGAAGUUAAAGGUGGAUUUAGUAGUAAAUUAAGAAUAGAGUGCUUAAUUGAAUCCGGCCAUGAGGCACGCACACACCGCCCGUCACCCUCCUCAAGUAAAAAAUAUUAAUUACUACCUAAAAUAUAAAUAAUAUUAACUUAUGAGAGGAGAUAAGUCGUAACAAGGUAAGUGUACUGGAAAGUGCACUUGGACAACU
RNAcentral lists this non-coding RNA (960 nucleotides) under Plecotus auritus (brown big-eared bat). Its description in RNAcentral is "12S ribosomal RNA". It matches the Rfam family "Bacterial small subunit ribosomal RNA". The record is from RNAcentral. Lineage: Eukaryota; Metazoa; Chordata; Mammalia; Chiroptera; Vespertilionidae.